GCGUUGUUCGGAAUUAUUGGGCGUAAAGCGCGUGUAGGCGGCUUUGUAAGUCGGGUGUGAAAGCCCUCAGCUCAACUGAGGAAGUGCGCCCGAAACUACUUUGCUUGAGUGCCGGAGAGGAUGGCGGAAUUCCCCAAGUAGAGGUGAAAUUCGUAGAUAUGGGGAGGAACACCGGUGGCGAAGGCGGCCAUCUGGACGGUAACUGACGCUGAGACGCGAAAGCGUG
RNAcentral lists this ribosomal RNA (226 nucleotides) under uncultured bacterium. RNAcentral describes it as "partial 16S ribosomal RNA". It matches the Rfam family "Bacterial small subunit ribosomal RNA", at positions 538 to 763 of the family's 1533-position model. The record is from RNAcentral.